Molecule: ribosomal RNA, 250 nt
Filed under: uncultured bacterium
Lineage: Bacteria
Description: partial 16S ribosomal RNA
Rfam family: Bacterial small subunit ribosomal RNA
Source: RNAcentral
GACGAAGGAUCCAAGCGUUAUCCGGAUUCAUUGGGUUUAAAGGGUGCGUAGGCGGAUUUGUAAGUCAGUGGUGAAAGCCGAUAGCUCAACUAUCGAACUGCCAUUGAUACUGCAGAUCUAGAAUAUAGAUGAUGUUGGCGGAAUAUGACAUGUAGCGGUGAAAUGCAUAGAUAUGUCAUAGAACACCGAUUGCGAAGGCAGCUGACAAAACUAUUAUUGACGCUGAUGCACGAAAGUGCGGGGAUCAAAC